Molecule: ribosomal RNA, 372 nt
Filed under: uncultured bacterium
Lineage: Bacteria
Description: bacterial SSU rRNA
Rfam family: Bacterial small subunit ribosomal RNA
Source: RNAcentral
UACGGAGGAUGCAAGCGUUAUCCGGAUUUAUUGGGUUUAAAGGGUGCGUAGGCGGGGCAGCAAGUCAGUGGUGAAAUCUUUCGGCUUAACCGAAAAACUUCCAUUGAAACUGUUGUCCUUGAGUAUACUUGGAGUGGGCGGAAUGUGUCAUGUAGCGGUGAAAUGCUUAGAUAUGACACAGAACACCAAUCGCGAAGGCAGCUCACUAAAUUAUAACUGACGCUGAAGCACGAAAGCGUGGGGAUCAAACAGGAUUAGAUACCCUGGUAGUCCACGCCGUAAACGAUGAUCACUCGAUGUUGGCGAUACACUGUCAGCGUCUGAGCGAAAGCAUUAAGUGAUCCACCUGGGGAGUACGAUCGCAAGGUUGAA